UACGGGAGGCAGCAGUGAGGAAUCUUGCACAAUGGGCGAAAGCCUGAUGCAGCGACGCCGCGUGUGUGAAGAAGGCCUUCGGGUUGUAAAGCACUUUCAGUAGGGAGGAAGGCUUUGGGCUAAUACCCUGGAGUACUUGACGUUACCUACAGAAGAAGCACCGGCUAAUUUCGUGCCAGCAGCCGCGGUAAU
RNAcentral lists this ribosomal RNA (192 nucleotides) under uncultured bacterium. Its description in RNAcentral is "partial 16S ribosomal RNA". It matches the Rfam family "Bacterial small subunit ribosomal RNA", at positions 340 to 524 of the family's 1533-position model. The record is from RNAcentral.